This 66-nucleotide transfer RNA is filed under the name marine eukaryotic metagenome. It matches the Rfam family "tRNA". Rfam says of the family: Transfer RNA (tRNA) molecules are approximately 80 nucleotides in length. Their secondary structure includes four short double-helical elements and three loops (D, anti-codon, and T loops). The record is from RNAcentral.
GGGUGUCGCCUAGUGGUAGGGCAAUGGCCUUCCAAGCCAUCUGGGUGGGUUCGAUUCCCAUCACCC